AAAUUGAAGAGUUUGAUCAUGGCUCAGAUUGAACGCUGGCGGCAGGCCUAACACAUGCAAGUCGAGCGGUAGCACAGAGAGCUUGCUCGGGUGACGAGCGGCGGACGGGUGAGUAAUGUCUGGGA
RNAcentral lists this ribosomal RNA (125 nucleotides) under Klebsiella pneumoniae. Its description in RNAcentral is "partial 16S ribosomal RNA". It matches the Rfam family "Bacterial small subunit ribosomal RNA", at positions 1 to 122 of the family's 1533-position model. The record is from RNAcentral. Lineage: Bacteria; Pseudomonadati; Pseudomonadota; Gammaproteobacteria; Enterobacterales; Enterobacteriaceae.